RNAcentral lists this ribosomal RNA (1511 nucleotides) under uncultured bacterium. RNAcentral's name for it is "bacterial SSU rRNA". It matches the Rfam family "Bacterial small subunit ribosomal RNA". The record is from RNAcentral.
AGAGUUUGAUCCUGGCUCAGGGUGAACGCUGGCGGCGUGCUUAAUGCAUGCAAGUCGAGCGCGCCUGCAUCGCUUCGGUGGUGUAGGAAAGCGGCAAACGGCUGAGUAACGCGUGAGUAACCUGUCCUUCGGUGGGGUAAAACCUCGAGAAAUCGGGGCUAAUACCGCAUGUGGUCCCUGUGCCCUGGUGCAGGGAAGAAAGCCUUUGGGCGCCGGAGGAGGGGCUCGCGUCCUAUCAUGGUAGUUGGUGGGGUAAAAGCCUACCAAGCCUAUGACGGGUAGCUGGUCUGAGAGGAUGAUCAGCCAGAGGGGGACUGAGACACGGCCCCCACUCCUACGGGAGGCAGCAGCAGGGAAUUUUGGGCAAUGGGCGAAAGCCUGACCCAGCAACGCCGCGUGGGGGAUGAAGGCCUAAGGGCUGUAAACCCCUUUUCCGAGGGAAGAGAUAGGACCGUACCUCGGGAAUAAGCUCCGGCUAACUACGUGCCAGCAGCCGCGGUAAUACGUAGGGAGCAAGCGUUACCCGGAUUUACUGGGCGUAAAGGGUAUGUAGGCGGCAAGGCAAGUCUUCUGUGAAAGCUCCCGGCUCAACCGGGAGAGGUCAGGAGAUACUGCCUAGCUUGAGGSCAGUAGAGGAGGGUGGAAUUCCCGGUGUAGCGGUGAAAUGCGUAGAUAUCGGGAGGAMCACCAGUGGCGAAAGCGCCCUCUGGGCUGUMCCUGACGCUGAUGUACGAAAGCGUGGGUAGCAAMCCGGAUUAGAUACCCGGGUAGUCCACGCCCUAAMCGUUGGAUGCUAGGUAUUGGGGGUAUCGACCCCCCCCUGUGCCGAAGUUAACGCGAUAAGCAUCCCGCCUGGGGAGUACGGUCGCAAGGCUAAAACUCAAAAGAAUUGACGGGGGCCCGCMCAAGCGGUGGAGCGUGUGGUUUAAUUCGAUGCUAAGCGAAGAMCCUUACCAGGGCUUGACAUGAUGGUAGUAGGAACCCGAAAGGGCAACGACCCCGGGGAAACUCGGGGAGCCACCACAGGUGCUGCAUGGCUGUCGUCAGCUCGUSCCGUGAGGUGUUGGGUUAAGUCCCGCAACGAGCGCAACCCUUGCCGUUAGUUACACUCUCUAGCGGAACAGCCCCCCACAAGGGGGAGGAAGGUGGGGAUGACGUCAAGUCAGCAUGGCCCUUACGCCCUGGGCUACACACACGCUACAAUGGUCGGUACAAUGGGUCGCAAAAGCGCGAGCUGGAGCCAAUCCCAUCAAAGCCGGCCUCAGUUGGGAUCGCAGGCUGCAACCCGCCUGCGUGAACGUGGAAUCGCUAGUAACCGCAGGUCAGCACACUGCGGUGAAUACGUUCCCGGGCCUUGUACACACCGCCCGUCACGUCAUGGGAGCCGGGAAGACCCGAAGUCGCUGAGCUAACCCCUAGGGGAGGCAGGUGCCGAGGGUCGGCCUGGUGACUGGGACRAAGUCGUAACAAGGUAGCUGUAUCGGAAGGKGCGGCUGGAUCACCUCCUUUCU